AUCCAUCGCCACUCACCCACGACUCCCCAACCCCCCCUCGCCGCCGCCGCUGCCUACCCCGCCUCCUACCGGUGCGCGGCGCGCCGUCAUCCCCGCCUCCUGCCGGUGCGCCGCCGGACCCUCCUUCUUCCCUAGAGCGCCGCCACCCCGCUGCCUCCUACCGGCGUGCCGCCGGACCCUCCUUUUUCCCUGGAGCGCUGCCACCCCGCUGCCCCCGCCAUCUCCCACCAUGGGGUAACCCUAGAUGGCCGUCGGCCCGCCGCUGCCGACGUCGCCUCCUUCUCCCUUGGCCCUCAGCCACCCAACGGCCGCUGCAUCACGCCGAUUAGGUCCUACCCCAGGACAGCCACGGGUGUCGUCAUCUCCAGAAGCCUGUCCCCAAAUCGUUGCCACCUGCGCCUCCGAUUCAGCCAAUGUCGAUCAUCUCCCUCUUCGUCCUCCACGGGUGUUGCUCUGCCUCGGUCUAUAAUUAACGUCCAUGCCCCAACGCCUUCUCGCCGUUCCUCCCCUGAGCGCGCCCUGCGGCUAACCCUAGGGACCGAGUCGGGCUUGCCGGCGCGGCCGCAUCGUGUGCUGUUGGCACCCCACUCCACCUGCUCUGCUGUGCCCCGGUCUCCAACAGCCAUUCUGAGGAACCCAUCUCGCCGCCACCAUCGUCUGCUAUCCUCCAGCAAGUGUGCUGCGGUACGCCGAUGUCCUCCGAUCGGCAAGCUCCGCCCCUGCCGGCAUCGUCCACCCACACCAUGUCCUCCUCUUUGCCAAGCAGCGUUAAGCGGUGAUUAUCAGAAGUCCAAGACCACACUGUAGGCAGGAAAAAGGAAUGUUCUUGGUAAGCUAUAGUAUUCCAUUCUUAAUUUACUCACUUCAAUGCAUAGUUUUGUUAGUUCUUCCAUUAGUUUCUAUUGAAGUAUGCUCAAUGGGAUAGGGUUUAGAAAGUUAUAUGCAUAAUGGGAGAUUACUUGAUUUGCUAAUCCUUAUCUGGUUAGUGAUUCCUCACAAACUCAAGCGAUAAUAUGCACAUGUUUCUUCGUGUCGUACUUUGAUCUAUGCGUGUUGAUUGAGAGAUUCUUGGUCUUCAGUUUUUAUGUACAACUCAAGUGACCAAAUUGUAUUAGAUUCUUUUCCCUCACAAACUGCAGUCUUGGUGCCUUCCUGUUGAAAAAAAAAAGAAAUGGGGGCAUGGGGCACAUUAUGCAGUCAGAACCUAGAUGUUACUAUACAACCAUGAACAUAAUUCUGGGAGGUAGCACGUGGUCGUUCUUAGUAACAGUAUGUUGGAAUUGUAGGAUAUGGCUCUCAUUUUGUUUGGUGUUGGAAUAGUAGGUUGCUCGCAGGUGACUUCUCAGGUGUCACGGCGCUUGCAUUGUAGAUUAGUAGAGGGAAUAUUGAGACGACGAGGAGAGGCGACUUAACUGCAGUCCGCACAACACCAUGAACCAUGUAGUACUAACUUGCCACUGCCACAUUUGCUCACUCAUUUCUUUCUUAUGCAUACAAUUUCCAUUUUUAAUUAUUUUAUUUAGUUUUUUCUCUACUUAUGUUGCAUCUUAUGUAAUGCAUAUGAAAGUUUAAUACAUUGACAAGUGUGAACUAUGGUUCUCUGUAGAAUGUGAACUUCUGGACUCCUCUCAUAAUUAUCAACAUUUUCAUAUGUUGUAACCUCUUAUGGGCUGAUAUUCUGCAAACACCAUAGAACUUGAUAGGAUAAAGAUUUAUCACUCGAGUUCAAUCUUCGUGAAAUACUCCCUCUGUCUGAAAAUAUUACGUCUUAUAUUUUGAGAUGGUGGGAGUAUAUGAUAUGUGACCGCCUGGACUACGAUGACAGGGCUGACAAAGAUGAACCAAGGUAAGCCGUGCCUCUGGUAUUCUAACAUGUGAAAUCCAUAAGACAAUUCUUUCGAGUUGCGACCUGCAUUGUGGUGUCUCCGUUCAUCAAUUUCUGAGCACCAGCUCCAGUGAAAUUAGGUGUUCAUCCAGCCAUACUCCUAGGUGGCUUUCUUUGGCCUGUUUCUUAUUGUGUAUUUAGUGGUUAUGCACAAGCUUCAUCAUCUGAUAUUUCUGCAGUAAUUACUGAAAACAAUUUGAGGACAAAGCUUUGAUUGUUGUUGUAGUUGAAGAUUCAGAGUUGCAAGGCAGGCAUAGUUAACAGGGAUAAGAAACUAUAGAAGAUUUAUCAAAUCAGACAUGGGCUUGGUUAUGCAAUGAUUCAUUGGGAUCUGAGAAGGUUAUAGGGGUGGCCCGAUAUCAUGGAGACUUGGAGAGGCGCCGUGCUCGGUCCAGUGAGGAGCUCCGGGUCAACACUGUGGCUGCGUGGUGGGCAUGAACCAUGGUUUUGUCAUCCUUGAACCGGUCUGCCCUCAAACGAACCCCUUAGAUGCAGCCAACACCUUGUAGCCCACACAUUACUCUCUUCAGGUCGCCGUUUUGGACCGUGUAGCGGUGUCGCCCGAGAGCCACGCGACUACCAUAUCGCCCCUCUGGGAGAGCCAUAUUAGGGUGGAUCUGGGCCCAUGCCCGACGAAGAGGGGGUGGCGGAGGGAAGGACUGCUGGUGGUGGCAGUCAUUUGGUGGCGACGACUGGUGAAGCGUGGAAAAGGUCGGAGAGGUGGACCAUUAGGGGAAUGUCAGUGACACCGCCGCUGCUUUCUCUCCUUCUCGAGACACCAUCUUUGUGAGCAAAGGAGACCGUGUUGCUAUCU
Triticum aestivum (bread wheat) is the source of this 2699-nucleotide long non-coding RNA. RefSeq lists it as uncharacterized. Lineage: Eukaryota; Viridiplantae; Streptophyta; Magnoliopsida; Poales; Poaceae. The transcript has 4 exons. The record is from RefSeq and is a predicted model, not a curated record.